This 642-nucleotide ribosomal RNA is filed under the name Pantoea sp. RNAcentral describes it as "bacterial SSU rRNA". It matches the Rfam family "Bacterial small subunit ribosomal RNA", at positions 815 to 1457 of the family's 1533-position model. The record is from RNAcentral. Lineage: Bacteria; Pseudomonadati; Pseudomonadota; Gammaproteobacteria; Enterobacterales; Erwiniaceae.
ACUUGGAGGUUGUUCCCUUGAGGAGUGGCUUCCGGAGCUAACGCGUUAAGUCGACCGCCUGGGGAGUACGGCCGCAAGGUUAAAACUCAAAUGAAUUGACGGGGGCCCGCACAAGCGGUGGAGCAUGUGGUUUAAUUCGAUGCAACGCGAAGAACCUUACCUACUCUUGACAUCCANAGAAUUUGGCAGAGAUGCUUUGGUGCCUUCGGGAACUCUGAGACAGGUGCUGCAUGGCUGUCGUCAGCUCGUGUUGUGAAAUGUUGGGUUAAGUCCCGCAACGAGCGCAACCCUUAUCCUUUGUUGCCAGCGAUUCGGUCGGGAACUCAAAGGAGACUGCCGGGUGAUAAACCGGAGGAANGNGGGGANGANGUCAAGUCAUCAUGGCCCUUACGAGUAGGGCUACACACGUGCUACAAUGGCGCAUACAAAGAGAAGCGACCUCGCGAGAGCAAGCGGACCUCAUAAAGUGCGUCGUAGUCCGGAUCGGAGUCUGCAACUCGACUCCGUGAAGUCGGAAUCGCUAGUAAUCGUGGAUCAGAAUGCCACGGUGAAUACGUUCCCGGGCCUUGUACACACCNCCNGUCACACCAUGGGAGUGGGUUGCAAAAGAAGUAGGUAGCNUAACNUUCGGGAGGGNGCUAC